RNAcentral lists this ribosomal RNA (392 nucleotides) under uncultured bacterium. RNAcentral describes it as "partial 16S ribosomal RNA". It matches the Rfam family "Bacterial small subunit ribosomal RNA", at positions 523 to 918 of the family's 1533-position model. The record is from RNAcentral.
AUACGGAGGAUCCGAGCGUUAUCCGGAUUUAUUGGGUUUAAAGGGUGCGCAGGCGGCCAUUUAAGUCAGCGGUUAAAUCGUGGGGCUCAACCCCAUUCUGCCGUUGAUACUGGGUGGCUUGAUUGCGGUCGAGGUUGGCGGAAUUCGUUGUGUAGCGGUGAAAUGCAUAGAUAUGACGAAGAACACCGAUUGCGUAGGCAGCUGACCAGACCGCAAAUGACGCUCAUGCACGAAAGUGCGGGGAUCGGACAGGAUUAGAUACCCUGGUAGUCCGCACAGUAAACGAUGAAUACUUGUUUUCGGCGAUAUAAUGUCGGAGGCAAAGCGAAAGCGAUAAGUAUUCCACCUGGGGAGUACGCCGGCAACGGUGAAACUUAAAGGAAUUGGCGGGG